CUGGCUUGGUCUUGAGGUACACUGAGGUCACUUGCUCACUUGUAAUUCCGUGGCUUUGCUAUAUUUACGCACACCAGUGUAAUGUUUAGAUGUUAUUAUAUAGUUUGAAAACAAGCAGUAAGACUCCCAAUUUUAGCUAUUGUAAAACAAACAAUGACUUUGGAAAGCCAACAAGUAUACAAAAUAGACAACAAGACGCCGAAAGUCGAAAAAAAUUUGUUCGCUCGCGUUAAUCGCUUUGAUCAGCCA
Molecule: non-coding RNA, 249 nt
Organism: Paramuricea clavata
Lineage: Eukaryota; Metazoa; Cnidaria; Anthozoa; Malacalcyonacea; Plexauridae
Source: the annotation of a GenBank genome assembly